Molecule: non-coding RNA, 1764 nt
Filed under: Limnonectes cf. kuhlii 'lineage 21'
Lineage: Eukaryota; Metazoa; Chordata; Amphibia; Anura; Dicroglossidae
Description: partial contains 12S ribosomal RNA, tRNA-Val, and 16S ribosomal RNA; may also contain tRNA-Phe
Rfam family: Bacterial small subunit ribosomal RNA (bases 67-897)
Source: RNAcentral
AAACUUACACAUGCAAGUCUCAGCAGACCCGUGAGGACGCCCUUUACCCUACACCAGACCUAGGAGCUGGCAUCAGGCAUUAAAUUUACCCAUUACGCCUAGUCCCACCACGCCCAUAAGGGCCUUCAGCAGUGAUAAAUAUUGUUUAUAAGCGACAGCUUGACUCAGUUAUAGGAAAGAGAGCUGGCUAACUCGGUGCCAGCCGCCGCGGCUAAACCGCACGAGCCCAAGUUGAUAAUUACCGGCGUUAAGCGUGAUUAAAGACCCCCCCAUCAAUUAGAGCAAAAUCUGUAUUCAGCCGUGACAAGCUUAUACCAGAGAAAAAUAAAAACGAAAGUUGCCCUAAUCCACUUGAAUACACGACAGUUGGGAAACAAACUGGGAUUAGAUACCCCACUAUGCCCCACCGUAAAAUAUUAACCUACACUAAAAACGCCAGGGUAUUACGAGCCUCAGCUUAAAACCCAAAGGACUUGACGGUGUCCCACCCAACUAGAGGAGCCUGUUCUAUAAUCGAUAACCCCCGAUAUACCUAACCCCAUUUUGCAGAUCAGCCUGUAUACCUCCGUCGCAAGCUUACCAUAUGAAUGCCAACAGUAAGUCCAAUGGUCACACACCAACACGUCAGGUCAAGGUGCAGCUUAUAAUAGGGCAAGCAAUGGGCUACAAUUUCUAAUAUAGAAUAUACGGAAUGCCACCUGAAACACAACAUGAAGGCGGAUUUAGUAGUAAAAAUGAAAUAACGUGUCCUUCUUAACAAGGCCCUGGGACGUGUACACACCGCCCGUCACCCUCUUCAAUAAUACACCACCCGUUUAUUACAACUCAAUAUAUACUAGAAGAGGCAAGUCGUAACAUGGUAAGUGUACCGGAAGGUGCACUUGGAUUACCAAAGUAUAGCUUAAGCAAAGCCUCUCGCUUACACCGAGAAGACAUCCGUGAAAACCAGAUUAUUUUGAGCCUAAAAUUAAGCCUAAUUCAACCUCAUGCAUCUUUACCCCAACAAACCUUAAUAAAACAUUUUAUCAGUUUAGUAAAGGCGAUUAAAAAACUUAUUAGCGCUUUAUUGCAAGUACCGCAAGGGAAAAAUGAAAUAGCUUUGAAAUAGAACUUAAGCAAUUUAUAGCAGAGAUUACCCCUCGUACCUUUUGCAUCAUGGUUUAGUUAGUCUCACUCAAGCAAAACGAAACAUCAGUUUGACCCCCCGAAACUAAGCGAGCUACUUUUAAACAGCUCAAUGGAGCCAACCCGUCUCUGUUGCAAAAGAGUGGGAUGAUUUUUAAGUAGAGGUGAAAAGCCUAACGAGCUUAGAGAUAGCUGGUUAUUCAGAAAUAGAAUUUUAGUUCAACCUUAAGUUUUCUUAUUUUACACAAAACUACCACAAACUUAAGAGCUAUUCAAAUAAGGCACAGCUUAUUUGAAAAAGGAUACAACCUACAAAAAAGGGUAAAAAUAUUAUACAAACCAAGUUGGCCUGAAAGCAGCCAUCUUUAAGAAAGCGUUAAAGCUCCUCUCUUUUCCUUAAUAAUCCCUCUAAAUAUAUUAAACCCUUCAUUAUUACUGAAUGAUUCUAUAACUUAUAGAAGUCCUGAUACUAAAACUAGUAACAAGAAAAAGUUUUUUCUCCAAAAUAUAAGUAUAAGCCUUACUGGACAAACCAUUGGCAGUUAACGUUUAUAAAAUCACUGUAGUAACCCCACGAGAAAAUUCUACAAAUACAAACGUUAAUCUUACACAAGCAUAUUGCAGGAAAGAUAAAAGAAA